UACGUAGGUCCCGAGCGUUGUCCGGAUUUAUUGGGCGUAAAGCGAGCGCAGGUGGUUUAUUAAGUCUGGUGUAAGAGGCAGUGGCUCAACCAUUGUAUGCAUUGGAAACUGGUAGACUUGAGUGCAGGAGAAGAGAGUGGAAUUCCAUGUGUAGCGGUGAAAUGCAUAGAUAUAUGGAGGAACACCGGUGGCGAAAGCGGCUCUCUGGCCUGUAGCUGACACUGAGGCUCGAAAGCGUGGGGAGCAAACAGG
RNAcentral lists this ribosomal RNA (252 nucleotides) under uncultured bacterium. RNAcentral's name for it is "partial 16S ribosomal RNA". It matches the Rfam family "Bacterial small subunit ribosomal RNA", at positions 524 to 776 of the family's 1533-position model. The record is from RNAcentral.